RNAcentral lists this small nuclear RNA (308 nucleotides) under Chinchilla lanigera (long-tailed chinchilla). Its description in RNAcentral is "7SK RNA (ENSCLAG00000021965.1)". It matches the Rfam family "7SK RNA". Rfam says of the family: 7SK was discovered as an abundant small nuclear RNA in the mid-70s but a possible function has only recently been suggested. Two independent studies have found that 7SK RNA binds the CDK9/cyclin T complex (known as elongation factor P-TEFb). P-TEFb activates transcription by phosphorylating the C-terminal domain of RNA polymerase II. The record is from Rfam by way of RNAcentral. Lineage: Eukaryota; Metazoa; Chordata; Mammalia; Rodentia; Chinchillidae.
GGAUGUGGGGGCGAUCUGACUGUGACAUCUGCCACCCCAUUGAUCGCCAGGGUUGAUUCGGCUGAUCUGGCUGGUUAGGCGGGUGUCCCCUUCCUCCCUCAGCACUCCAUGUGAGUCCCUCCCGAAACUGCGCUCUUGGUUGAAAAGGACGACCACCCCCGAUGGAGAAGGACAGUUCCUCGGUCAAGGGUAUAGGAGAUGCUGCGCUCCCCUGCUAGAACCUCCGAACAAGCUCUGUUCCAAGAGGUGAGAAGCGAACGUUACACAAGCAACUUGACCCAAGUAACAACUACAGUAUCGUAGGAUGU